GCAUAUCAAUAAGCGGAGGAAAAGAAACCAACAGGGAUUGCCCUAGUAACGGCGAGUGAAGCGGCAACAGCUCAAAUUUGAAAUCUGGCUCUCGGGCCCGAGUUGUAAUUUGUAGAGGAUGCUUUUGAUGCGGUGCCUUCCGAGUUCCCUGGAACGGGACGCCAUAGAGGGUGAGAGCCCCGUCUGGUUGGAUGCCAAAUCUCUGUAAAGCUCCUUCAACGAGUCGAGUAGUUUGGGAAUGCUGCUCUAAAUGGGAGGUAUAUGUCUUCUAAAGCUAAAUACCGGCCAGAGACCGAUAGCGCACAAGUAGAGUGAUCGAAAGAUGAAAAGCACUUUGAAAAGAGAGUUAAAAAGUACGUGAAAUUGUUGAAAGGGAAGCGUUUAUGACCAGACUUGGGCUUGGUUAAUCAUCUGGGGUUCUCCCCAGUGCACUUUUCCAGUCCAGGCCAGCAUCAGUUUUCCCCGGGGGAUAAAGGCGUCGGGAAUGUGGCUCUCUUCGGGGAGUGUUAUAGCCCGUCGUGUAAUACCCUGGGGGGGACUGAGGUUCGCGCAUCUGCAAGGAUGCUGGCGUAAUGGUCAUCAACGACCCGUCUUGAAACACGGACCAAGGAGUCGUCUUCGUAUGCGAGUGUUCGGGUGUCAAACCCCUACGCGUAAUGAAAGUGAACGCAGGUGAGAGCUUCGGCGCAUCAUCGACCGAUCCUGAUGUUCUCGGAUGGAUUUGAGUAAGAGCAUACGGGGCCGGACCCGAAAGAAGGUGAACUAUGCCUGUAUAGGGUGAAGCCAGAGGAAACUCUGGUGGAGGCUCGCAGCGGUUCUGACGUGCAAAUCGAUCGUCAAAUAUGGGCAUGGGGGGCGAAAGACUAAUCGAACCUUCUAGUAGCUGGUUUCCGCCGA
RNAcentral lists this ribosomal RNA (897 nucleotides) under Fusarium oxysporum. RNAcentral's name for it is "LSU rRNA". It matches the Rfam family "Eukaryotic large subunit ribosomal RNA", at positions 38 to 964 of the family's 3401-position model. The record is from RNAcentral. Lineage: Eukaryota; Fungi; Ascomycota; Sordariomycetes; Hypocreales; Nectriaceae.